Molecule: small RNA, 125 nt
Filed under: Marmota monax (woodchuck)
Lineage: Eukaryota; Metazoa; Chordata; Mammalia; Rodentia; Sciuridae
Source: RNAcentral
GCUGGGUGCAGUGGUGCAUGCCUGUAAUCCUAGUGACUCAGGAGGUUGAGACAGGAGGAUGGUGAGUUCAAAGCCAGCCUCAGCAAUGGUAAGGCACUAAGCAACUCACUGAGACCCUGUCUCUA